Molecule: ribosomal RNA, 255 nt
Filed under: uncultured bacterium
Lineage: Bacteria
Description: partial 16S ribosomal RNA
Rfam family: Bacterial small subunit ribosomal RNA
Source: RNAcentral
CGGCACGGGUGCGUAACGCGUAUGCAACCUACCAUCAACAGGGGGAUAACACUGAGAAAUUGGUACUAAUACCCCAUAAUAUCUCAUGCGGCAUCGCAUGGGGUUGAAAACUCCGGUGGUUGAUGAUGGGCAUGCGUUGUAUUAGCUGGUUGGUGAGGUAACGGCUCACCAAGGCGACGAUACAUAGGGGGACUGAGAGGUUAGCCCCCCACAUUGGUACUGAGACACGGACCAAACUCCUACGGGAGGCAGCAG